CAGCCGUAAACUAUGCGCGUUAGGUGUACUGGUGACCACGAGUCACCGAGGUGCCGAAGGGAAAAAAACCGUGAAACGUGCCGCCUGGGAAGUACGGUCGCAAGGCUGAAACUUAAAGGAAUUGGCGGGGGGAGCACCGACAACGGGUGGAGCCUGCGGUUUAAUUGGACUCAACGCCGGAAAUCUCACCGGAUAGGACAGCAGGAAUGAUGGCCAGGUUGAUGACCUUGCUUGACAAGCUGAGAGGUGGUGCAUGGCGUGUGACUGU
This 268-nucleotide ribosomal RNA is filed under the name uncultured archaeon. RNAcentral's name for it is "partial 16S ribosomal RNA". It matches the Rfam family "Archaeal small subunit ribosomal RNA", at positions 748 to 1008 of the family's 1478-position model. The record is from RNAcentral.